CUCAUCCAUUCACCAUCACUGCUGCUAGUACCAUUACUACUACCACCAUCGUCUCUCCACUAUCCAUAAAAACCACCACAUCAAUAUUAAACUUUUCUCUAAAUUUUGAAUCAUCUAAAUCUCGCAAAACCAAACUCGGAAAAAAAAUUAUACAUUGUAUCUAUUAAAUCGCAAGACCAAACUCUGCCAUUUUGUUAUUGUUAAAGUUAUCUAUGUGAUCGAAGAAGCCAUAAAGAGGCCAAAGCCGCCGCAAUAGAGGCCUUUCAUGGGUUCAUCACUUUUGAUGAGAAGAAAGCGACGGAAGAAGACGCCUAUUUGGUAGUGCAGGAGAGUGCUUUAAGUGCGAUAAGCCUGGACAAAGAUGAGGGCGCUUGGGUGAACGGGCAAAAAGUGGUGGAUAUGGGGGUAGAAAUGAGAAGUAUAUUAGCGGUGGUGGAGGUGAGGGUGGUCGUAUGGUCUUGAUCCAAAUGGAGUUUGAUUUGGUGGGCAUAACAAGGAAUUCUAGCUGAGGAACUGGAGAAUAGGUGUUGCUGUAUGAAUUAUUGAAGGUUUUUGUUUUUGUUUCUUAAUUAUUUUAUGUUAGUGCUAAGAAAUCUUGAUGGUCAUCUCGUUGAAUGCUAUCUUGAUUUCCAUCCUACUAGAUUAAUUAUAUAUGUUAAUGCUAAGAAAAGAACUCCUUACAGAUAGCUUUCGAUGGUAGUAAUGGUGGUUGGAGGCGAUUGUUUGCAAUGUGAAGGAGAGAGAAAUGAGAAUGAUUUUAUUUUUGUUUUUUAUUGCAGUA
Long non-coding RNA from Ricinus communis (castor bean), 781 nucleotides. RefSeq lists it as uncharacterized. The transcript has 2 exons. The record is from RefSeq and is a predicted model, not a curated record. Lineage: Eukaryota; Viridiplantae; Streptophyta; Magnoliopsida; Malpighiales; Euphorbiaceae.